Molecule: ribosomal RNA, 717 nt
Filed under: Enterobacter cloacae
Lineage: Bacteria; Pseudomonadati; Pseudomonadota; Gammaproteobacteria; Enterobacterales; Enterobacteriaceae
Description: bacterial SSU rRNA
Rfam family: Bacterial small subunit ribosomal RNA
Source: RNAcentral
UGCAGUCGAACGGUAGCCAGAGAGCUUGCUCUCGGGUGACGAGUGGCGGACGGGUGAGGAAUGUCUGGGAAACUGCCUGAUGGAGGGGGAUAACUACUGGAAACGGUAGCUAAUACCGCAUAACGUCGCAAGACCAAAGAGGGGGACCUUCGGGCCUCUUGCCAUCAGAUGUGCCCAGAUGGGAUUAGCUAGUAGGUGGGGUAACGGCUCACCUAGGCGACGAUCCCUAGCUGGUCUGAGAGGAUGACCAGCCACACUGGAACUGAGACACGGUCCAGACUCCUACGGGAGGCAGCAGUGGGGAAUAUUGCACAAUGGGCGCAAGCCUGAUGCAGCCAUGCCGCGUGUAUGAAGAAGGCCUUCGGGUUGUAAAGUACUUUCAGCGGGGAGGAAGGUGUUGUGGUUAAUAACCGCAGCAAUUGACGUUACCCGCAGAAGAAGCACCGGCUAACUCCGUGCCAGCAGCCGCGGUAAUACGGAGGGUGCAAGCGUUAAUCGGAAUUACUGGGCGUAAAGCGCACGCAGGCGGUCUGUCAAGUCGGAUGUGAAAUCCCCGGGCUCAACCUGGGAACUGCAUUCGAAACUGGCAGGCUAGAGUCUUGUAGAGGGGGGUAGAAUUCCAGGUGUAGCGGUGAAAUGCGUAGAGAUCUGGAGGAAUACCGGUGGCGAAGGCGCAUCCCCUGCUACAAAGACUGACGCUCGUGUGCGAAAGCGUGG